AGUGAACGCUGGCGGUAGGCCUAACACAUGCAAGUCGAACGGCAGCACAGUAAGAGCUUGCUCUUACGGGUGGCGAGUGGCGGACGGGUGAGGAAUACAUCGGAAUCUACUUUUUCGUGGGGGAUAACGUAGGGAAACUUACGCUAAUACCGCAUACGACCUACGGGUGAAAGCAGGGGAUCUUCGGACCUUGCGCGAUUGAAUGAGCCGAUGUCGGAUUAGCUAGUUGGCGGGGUAAAGGCCCACCAAGGCGGCGAUCCGUAGCUGGUCUGAGAGGAUGAUCAGCCGCACUGGAACUGAGACACGGUCCAGACUCCUACGGGAGGCAGCAGUGGGGAAUAUUGGACAAUGGGCGCAAGCCUGAUCCAGCCAUACCACGUGGGUGAAGAAGGCCUUCGGGUUGUAAAGCCCUUUUGUUGGGAAAGAAAAGCAGCAGGUUAAUACCCCGCUGUUCUGACGGUACCCAAAGAAUAAGCACCGGCUAACUUCGUG
Molecule: ribosomal RNA, 492 nt
Filed under: uncultured bacterium
Lineage: Bacteria
Description: partial 16S ribosomal RNA
Rfam family: Bacterial small subunit ribosomal RNA
Source: RNAcentral